GGCCCAAUCUCAAAGUAAAGUAGUUUUGUGUGGUCAGCUGAUCCUACUAAUUUACUCUACUUCGAGGUUGUGCCG
Molecule: non-coding RNA, 75 nt
Organism: Haemonchus placei
Lineage: Eukaryota; Metazoa; Nematoda; Chromadorea; Rhabditida; Trichostrongylidae
Source: Rfam